GUUCUGAUGACACAUACAUAGACCAACUGUAUAUUGGCAUUUAAUAUACAAUACUGAACCUGUUUUCUCAGGACCAGUACUCGCAGUUUCAUUUUUCCAUGUCCAAAAAAUAUGUUGCUUCUAUUACGGUAUAUGACAAUACACAGGUUGGGUGAAUGGGAUAAUUAAGGUCAGCAAGUUUGGGCCACUCCCAAAGAGGUAUAACUGGGGAGUGUUUGUAAUUCAACUUUGGGCUUACUAAAUGGUUGCUCCUGAGCUUAAUCUGCAUUAGCUUCUGGCUUGCUGCCUAUUUGAUGCAGGCAAUUUUAUCUUCUCUGCUCGUCUCCUUGUCCAAGAAAGGAAGAUUGGAAAAGACAUAAAUUCUGUGGGAAGAACUGCAUGAGUUAAAUCAUAAACUGGGACACAUGUAGCCAAGCAACAUCAGACUGUUAUUAAGGUGGCACACGUUAUUUACAAGGAAGAAAACACAAGUUAGGAGAAGUUGUAGCAGGUUGCUUUUGCUUGAUCCUGCUGGAAAGGCCCACCCAGCAGUUCUGUGGCAGGCUGGAAGGAGAAUGAUUUUAAAUGGAGAGGACAAUGUCCUAGUUUGACGUUCCAAGUAAGGAGUCAAAAGGCAGAGCCUGAGCACUUCCGAUGUGCCACACAGAAGGCCUCUGAGAGCAGUUUUCAUAUGUGAGUGUGCUGGGAAGGAAGAAAGCGAAACCGGUCUACUGAUGACAAGAGGGAUGAGUCUCUACUCUUAGUACCUCUUCACAUGGGGGAUUGACGGCGCAACGGCACGACCCAAAAGGGCCGAGUGAAGAUCUUAAGGGACAACUACUUUCAAAGACAGUGACCAUCCUGAUUACCCACUCACAAAGGCUUUUUUGAAAGCACUCAGUAACCUCAGCAACACUCCACAA
This is a long non-coding RNA of Anolis carolinensis (green anole), 902 nucleotides long. RefSeq lists it as uncharacterized. The transcript has 6 exons. Lineage: Eukaryota; Metazoa; Chordata; Lepidosauria; Squamata; Anolidae. The record is from RefSeq and is a predicted model, not a curated record.